CAAACUACGAUUCAUACUAUGGAGAUGGAACUUUUACCUACGUUUGCCGCUAGGGGCGCUGUUCCAACUGCAUACAAAUUUGAUUUA
Molecule: microRNA precursor, 87 nt
Filed under: Bombyx mori (domestic silkworm)
Lineage: Eukaryota; Metazoa; Arthropoda; Insecta; Lepidoptera; Bombycidae
Description: mir-2807 microRNA precursor family
Rfam family: mir-2807 microRNA precursor family
Source: Rfam by way of RNAcentral